Molecule: small nuclear RNA, 107 nt
Filed under: Ursus maritimus (polar bear)
Lineage: Eukaryota; Metazoa; Chordata; Mammalia; Carnivora; Ursidae
Source: RNAcentral
GUGCUUGCUUUGGCAGCACAUAUUCUAAAAUUGGAAAAAUACAGAGAAGAUUAGCCUGGCCCCUGUGCAAGGAUGACACACAAAUUCAUGAAGCAUUCCGUAUUUUU